Molecule: long non-coding RNA, 955 nt
Filed under: Sus scrofa (pig)
Lineage: Eukaryota; Metazoa; Chordata; Mammalia; Artiodactyla; Suidae
Description: lncRNA (ENSSSCG00035077178.1)
Source: RNAcentral
CCUGGCUAGGCCUCGCCCCGUGUGACUCUAGGCAAGAAGCCCGAUCGCUUGGCUUCAGGCCCCCCAGCUGUGAAGUGGGGAUGAGGUUGUUCUCACCUCCUACGAUGGAGGAACAAACGCACUAAUGCCUUCGCUAGCGUUACCUUGGGGACGGUGCUGGCUGCUGCAGCACCUUUAGUCUCCCCACGUCCUUCCUGCUGGGUUUGGUCCUCACCCAUGGCUGGGAUGGGACGGACAAGGGGGGCCCUGGCCCGAGGAGCGGGCCUCCCGCAGGUCACCUCCCUCCUGGGAAAUGAGGAGAGGAAGGAGGAGCCACCACCACAGGGAGACUGGUGACAGAGGCCAGCCUGCUGCGGUCAGAUGGCCAGCAGAUCCAGAGCUUUCACGAUGCCUGGGUUUUCUCAGGCACAGGACCUGCUGCUCCAGAUAAACCCCUCCAUGGUCUUGGCUUCCCUCUGCCCCAAAGUCCUGCCCUGCCUGAGGCACAGAGGCGAAGGAUUAGAGACGCUCGUAGCUUGACUGGCUUGGGAUCCCCAGCCCUGAGGACGUGCAACUCUCGGGGUCACGGUGGAGGAAGAAGGGCUGCUGAUCAAACCAACCUCUUGGUCGAGGGCCUGGGACAUUUUGACCCAGCUCUUCUGCUCCUGUGGACCUUUGGACCCCGAAGACACUCAGAAUGCAAGCAUUUUAAUCAGAACUACCCAACCGGGGUGAGUUUUCAUCUCGAAAGGACCAGAAUUCCACAGGGAACUCCAUUAAGCCAAUUGAAUCCCUUUAUCAAUUUUCUAUACAGCUCAGUUAAACCAUUUCCGAUAUUUCCAUUUCCAUUUUGCUGAAAUUAUUUUCCUAGAGAUCAAUUCUUUUGCAUUUAGAAUUUCACAGAGGAGAUUUGCUUCCUAAAUCUGUUUUUUUUUUUUUUUUUUUUUUUUUUUUUUUUUUUUUUUUUUUUUUUUUU